RNAcentral lists this long non-coding RNA (249 nucleotides) under Homo sapiens (human). RNAcentral's name for it is "non-protein coding lnc-RPS13-2:1". Lineage: Eukaryota; Metazoa; Chordata; Mammalia; Primates; Hominidae. The record is from RNAcentral.
CAGCCUCCGGAGUAGCUGGGAUUACAGGUGCCUGCCACCAUACCUGGCUAAUUUUUGUAUUUUUAGUAGAGACGAGGUUUCACCAUGUUGGCCAGGCUGGUCUUGAACUUCUGACCUCGUGAUCCACCCGCCUCGGCCUCCCAAAAUGCUGGGAUUACAGGCAUGAGCCACCGUGCCUGGCCUUAUGAUUCUAUUUAUAUGAAAUGUCCAGAAUAGGCAAGUCCAUGAGACAGCAGAUUAGAGUGGGGA